Molecule: ribosomal RNA, 245 nt
Filed under: uncultured bacterium
Lineage: Bacteria
Description: partial 16S ribosomal RNA
Rfam family: Bacterial small subunit ribosomal RNA
Source: RNAcentral
UACAGAGGCCCCAAGCGUUAUCCGGAAUUAUUGGGCGUAAAGGGUGUCCAGGUGGCCCUGUUAGCCGUUUGUAAAAUCCGUGAGCUUAACUUACGGUUCGCAAGCGAAACGGCAGGGCUCGAGGGCGCGAGAGGUGCAUGGAACUCAUGGUGGAGGGGUGAAAUCCGUUGAUAUCAUGGGGAACACCAAAGGCGAAGGCAGUGCACUGGCGCGUUCCUGACACUCACACACGAAAGCCAGGGGAU